This 29-nucleotide non-coding RNA is filed under the name Mus musculus (house mouse). The record is from RNAcentral. Lineage: Eukaryota; Metazoa; Chordata; Mammalia; Rodentia; Muridae.
CAGAUGAUCAGACCUGCACCCAAAUGGUC